This 463-nucleotide ribosomal RNA is filed under the name Lithobius setiger. Its description in RNAcentral is "partial large subunit ribosomal RNA". It matches the Rfam family "Bacterial large subunit ribosomal RNA", at positions 1824 to 2571 of the family's 2925-position model. The record is from RNAcentral. Lineage: Eukaryota; Metazoa; Arthropoda; Chilopoda; Lithobiomorpha; Lithobiidae.
UGUUUCUUGUAUUAAUAUAAGAAAUAGGAUCUGCCCAAUGAUUAUUUUAAUGGCCGCAGUAUCUUGACUGUGCGAAGGUAGCAUAAUCAAUUGUCUUUUAAUUGGGGUCUGGUAUGAAUGAUUUAAUGUAAAAUUGACUGUUUCUUUUAGAUUCUUGAAUUUUUAAGGUAGGUGAAGAUACUUAUAUGUGAAUAAUAGACGAGAAGACCCUAUAAAGUUUUAUAUAUUAAGUAGUAUUAUAGCACUAUUUGUUAAUAUUUUGUUGGGGCAAUUGUAGAAUAGGAAAAACUUCUAGUAAUUAAGAUAUUUGUGAGUAAAUUUUUCAUGAUCCAAGAAUUUGAUAGUCAGAGUUAAUUACUUUAGGGAUAACAGCGUAAUUUGUUUAUAGAGUUCUUAUCGAUGAAUAAGAUUGCGACCUCGAUGUUGGAUUAAGAUACCUUUAUGAUGCAGGAGUUUUAAGGGG